This 251-nucleotide ribosomal RNA is filed under the name uncultured Dietzia sp. Its description in RNAcentral is "partial 16S ribosomal RNA". It matches the Rfam family "Bacterial small subunit ribosomal RNA", at positions 87 to 339 of the family's 1533-position model. Lineage: Bacteria; Bacillati; Actinomycetota; Actinomycetes; Mycobacteriales; Dietziaceae. The record is from RNAcentral.
GUACACGAGUGGCGAACGGGUGAGUAACACGUGGGUAAUCUGCCCUGCACUUCGGGAUAAGCCUGGGAAACCGGGUCUAAUACCGGAUAUUCAGUUCCUGCCGCAUGGUGGGGGUUGGAAAGUUUUUCGGUGCAGGAUGAGCCCGCGGCCUAUCAGCUUGUUGGUGGGGUAAUGGCCUACCAAGGCGACGACGGGUAGCCGGCCUGAGAGGGUGAUCGGCCACACUGGGACUGAGACACGGCCCAGACUCC